GCCAUAUUGCCUUGCAUUACUACUUUACUACCCAAAAGGUUGUCAGUCUAUUGGUAUGAGGCUGUAUACAUGCGCGUUGAACUAGCGCCAAACUUUUUACCGAAACUUUGAUAUUAAGAGCACUAUUAACGUUCAUUUGUGUUGCAUUUUGACCUAUUAUCCAAGUGAUUUACUUUUCCAUUAUUAUUUAAUCACCCUAUCAUCCAAUUUUUAAGAUGAAAUUACGGUGUUUACAAAACCAACCAAACCGAAAGUGAAACUGGAUGCAUUACGUUUCGCGAUGUAAACAUUAAAUAUUUGUUCAGUUUGAGGAAGCGAAUCGAUAAAAGACGUUGGAAUAUGUAUGCAAUACAGACUAUCAUUGCCGAUUGUAGUACUGGCUAAAAAAUACCUUUUAUGACAGGUAUACUGGAUUAUGAAAGACUGAUAAACAUAAAAUUGACAACUCAUCUCCCCAACGAUACUUUGUGUGGCUCAUUCUCAGAACAAACCCAUAGUCAGUGAGAAAACUACAGUGUAAAAAGACCACUUGAUUGUGACAAUUAUGGCUGACCAAGCAAAUGUUAUCAUUUAAAAUAAAGAAAACUUCCAGUUCAAUAUACAUUUUAUACCAAUUAUGACAUUGGCCAACACAGAAAAUAAUUAUAAGCUUGAUUUUUCCAAAAUUUGUUACAAUUGGAUACUGUUUUAAGCUUCACUCUACUUUGUCUGAAAAUAAAAGUCCUAAAUGAUGUAAUAGAAACAUACAUAUUUAAUUUUUAGUUUUACAAGGAUAUAUUUAUACAUACAUAUAUUAUAAUAUCUUUUUAUCGAUGGUCAAUCAAUUUAAGUUUAACUAAUAUAUACAUACACAUUUUAUACACGUGUUUGCUUUGAUUUUUAACCAGGUUUUCCGAAGGAAAAAACUGGUUAUUAGAUUGGCGAAUGCGGGCGGGCUGGCUGGCUGGCUGGCUGGCGGGCUGGCUGGCGGGCUGGCGGGCUGGCGGAAUAAGCUUGUCCGGGCCAUAACUAUGUCGUUCAUUGUCAGAUUUUAAAAUCAUUUGGCACAUUUGUUCACCAUCAUUGGACGGUGUGUCGCGCGAAAUAAUUACGUCGAUAUCUCCAAGGUCAAGGUCACACUUUGAGUUCAAAGGUCAAAAAUGGCCAUAAAUGAGCUUGUCCGAGCCAUAACUAUGUUGUUCAUCGUCAGAUUUUAAAAUCAUUUGGCACAUUUGUUCACCAUCAUUGGACGGUGUGUCGCGCGAAAUAAUUACGUCGAUAUCUCCAAGGUCAAUGUCACACUUUGAGUUCAAAGGUCAAAAAUGGCCAUAAAUGAGCUUGUCCUGGCCAUAACUAUGUCAUUCAUUGUGAGAUUUUAAAAUCAUUUGGCACAUUUGUUCACCAUCAUGGGACGGUGUGUCCCACGAAAGAAUCACGUCAAUAUCUCCAAUGUCAAGGUCGCCACGACUAAAAAUAGAUUAAAAAAAAAAAAAAUUACAAAGGGGGUUAAUUUUUUUUGGUCAUUUCAAAAGUUCAGUUUGAGUUUUCUCCCUUUAUCAGAUUUUUUUUUCACAAUGAAAACCUGGUUUUGUGACAAUUUUGUCCCUUGUUUUCUAUUGAAGCCAAAUUAAUAUCCCAUUAGAUAGAUAGAUAAUAUCACAGCAGUAUUCCUAGUUUGUCUGCAAGUACUGCAGAAAUCAUGGAUUAUUAUUUUACUGAGUCAGCCUUAAUCUUUAUAUUAUAAUUGUUAAAACAGAUUAAGAUGUGCAUUAUACAAUUGAGGAUGCAUCAAGAUUAAAAAAUGGUACAUGUAUAAAUUAAUAAAGAAUCAAUAACAAUCAGAAACUGUGCAUUUUUUUCAGUAUUGUGUGAAAGGAUUUGAAGUAAUGAUGUGUUUUUGAAAUAUGAUUUAUGUGAAUUUGAAUAAAUAUAUAAAAUUUAGUGAUUUUCUCAGACAAAAACUGUUAAUUACAUACUAAAGUAUUCAGAAUGUAUUAUUGUAAUAUUCAUUCGAUUU
This is an RNA transcript of Dreissena polymorpha, 1996 nucleotides long. RefSeq lists it as uncharacterized. The record is from RefSeq and is a predicted model, not a curated record. NCBI's taxonomy places the organism in Eukaryota, Metazoa, Mollusca, Bivalvia, Myida, Dreissenidae. The transcript is spliced from 2 exons.